AUUGAACGCUGGCGGCAUGCUUUACACAUGCAAGUCGAACGGCAGCGGGGAGGAGCUUGCUUCUCUGCCGGCGAGUGGCGAACGGGUGAGUAAUACAUCGGAACGUGUCGAGAAGAGGGGGAUAACCACCCGAAAGGGUGGCUAAUACCGCAUAAAUUCUGAGGAAGAAAGCUGGGGACCUAGGAAUAGGCCUAGCGCUUUUUGAGCGGCCGAUGUCGGAUUAGCUAGUUGGUGAGGUAAAGGCUCACCAAGGCGAAGAUCUAUAGCGGGUCUGAGAGGAUGAUCCGCCACACUGGGACUGAGACACGGCCCAGACUCCUACGGGAGGCAGCAGUGGGGAAUUUUGGACAAUGGGGGCAACCCUGAUCCAGCCAUGCCGCGUGUAUGAAGAAGGCCUUAGGGUUGUAAAGUACUUCUGUUAGGGAAGAAAAGUCAGCUGUGAAUAAUGGCUGAUACUGACGGUACCUAAAGAAUAAGCACCGGCUAACUACGUG
RNAcentral lists this ribosomal RNA (494 nucleotides) under uncultured bacterium. RNAcentral describes it as "partial 16S ribosomal RNA". It matches the Rfam family "Bacterial small subunit ribosomal RNA", at positions 30 to 507 of the family's 1533-position model. The record is from RNAcentral.